This 501-nucleotide ribosomal RNA is filed under the name uncultured bacterium. RNAcentral describes it as "bacterial SSU rRNA". It matches the Rfam family "Bacterial small subunit ribosomal RNA", at positions 28 to 531 of the family's 1533-position model. The record is from RNAcentral.
GAUGAACGCUGGCGGCGUGCCUCAAACAUGCAAGUCGAGCGGGGCUAUGUAAUAUCGCAAGGUAGAACAUAGCCUAGCGGCGAACGGGUGAGUAACACGUGGGUAACCUGCCUGGAAGACAGGGAUAACGAUUCGAAAGGGUCGCUAAUACCUGAUAAUAUCCUUUCAUCGCAUGGUGAUAGGAAGAAAGGGGAAACCCGCUUUUCAGAUGGGCCCGCGUCCCAUCAGCUAGUUGGUAAGGUAAAGGCUUACCAAGGCGACGACGGGUAGCCGGUCUGAGAGGAUGUACGGCCACACUGGGACUGAGACACGGCCCAGACUCCUACGGGAGGCAGCAGUUGGGAAUCUUAGGCAAUGGACGAAAGUCUGACCUAGCGACGCCGCGUGAGGGAAGAAGGCCUUCGGGUUGUAAACCUCUGUCAUGGGGGAAGAAGUAGUGACGGUACCCAAGAGGAAGCCCCUGCUAACUACGUGCCAGCAGCCGCGGUAAGAGUACUCUAU